Molecule: ribosomal RNA, 496 nt
Filed under: uncultured bacterium
Lineage: Bacteria
Description: bacterial SSU rRNA
Rfam family: Bacterial small subunit ribosomal RNA
Source: RNAcentral
AACGAACGCUGGCGGCGCGCCUAAUACAUGCAAGUCGAGCGAGAAGGUGUAGCAAUACACUUGUAAAGCGGCGAACGGGUGAGGAAUGCAUGGGUAACCUACCCUCGAGUGGGGAAUAACUAGCCGAAAGGUUAGCUAAUACCGCAUACGUUUCCGGAACUUCGGUUUCGGAAAGAAAGCAAUACCGUGGGUAUUGCGCUCCUGGAUGGGCUCAUGUCCUAUCAGCUUGUUGGUGAGGUAACGGCUCACCAAGGCUUCGACGGGUAGCUGGUCUGAGAGGACGAUCAGCCACACUGGCACUGCGACACGGGCCAGACUCCUACGGGAGGCAGCAGUAAGGAAUAUUGCGCAAUGGACGAAAGUCUGACGCAGCGACGCCGCGUGGGGGAUGAAGGUCUUCGGGAUUGUAAACCCCUUUCGGGAGGGAAGAUGGAGUGGGUAACCACUUGGACGGUACCUCCAGAAGCAGCCACGGCUAACUUCGUGCCAGCAGCCG